Long non-coding RNA from Neltuma alba, 610 nucleotides. RefSeq lists it as uncharacterized. The record is from RefSeq and is a predicted model, not a curated record. The transcript is spliced from 2 exons. NCBI's taxonomy places the organism in Eukaryota, Viridiplantae, Streptophyta, Magnoliopsida, Fabales, Fabaceae.
UCCUAAAUCCUUAACUUCGUGUCAUGUUCUCUGCCUUCUUUCACAGCAUUCAGUCACCUCUUCUCUUCUCUUGUAUCAGAUCUUCUUCAACUCGUCUUCCUUCUCCUUGGACAAGAAUCUUAUUCAAGAAGCUUGAUGGAGUGUACUAGAGUGAGAGUCUGAGAGAGAGUGGGAGGCCGAUUGAGAGAUUGAGAACGAGAGAGAGAGCUUGGGAGAGGAGGAACAAGGGAGCUCAGCGGAAGGGAAGAGGAAACUACUGAGAACCCACAAACGCUUUUGAUCCCUAAUCUAGGGUCCAGUUCAUCCAAGGGGAAAGAAAAGCUGGUGGAAGCACAGCUAAGGUGGAAGGAGAGAAGAACUUACUGCUUAGUUAAUUAAUUAAUCUUGUAUACAUUUUGUGUUGUGUUUCCCCUUUUCUUUUGUGAUAGGUGAUGUUUAUACUUUUCCUUUUAUGAAGUUAUGUAAAUUUCACUUAUAUGGUUAUAUGUACCUCCAUAAGGAGGAGUGAUUGGGGAUAGUUUAGCAUAGCUAGGGAGUAGUGUGUGUGUGUGUAUAUAUGCAUAUAUUGAUAAUAUAUUUGUGAUAUGAAUGAAUUAGAAUUUACAAAGCA